UGGGGAAUUUUGGACAAUGGGCGAAAGCCUGAUCCAGCAAUGCCGCGUGUGUGAAGAAGGCCUUCGGGUUGUAAAGCACUUUUGUCCGGAAAGAAAUCCUUGGCUCUAAUACAGUCGGGGGAUGACGGUACCGGAAGAAUAAGCACCGGCUAACUACGUGCCAGCAGCCGCGGUAAUACGUAGGGUGCAAGCGUUAAUCGGAAUUACUGGGCGUAAAGCGUGCGCAGGCGGUUUGCUAAGACCGAUGUGAAAUCCCCGGGCUCAACCUGGGAACUGCAUUGGUGACUGGCAGGCUAGAGUAUGGCAGAGGGGGGUAGAAUUCCACGUGUAGCAGUGAAAUGCGUAGAGAUGUGGAGGAAUACCGAUGGCGAAGGCAGCCCCCUGGGCCAAUACUGACGCUCAUGCACGAAAGCGUGGGGGAGCAAAACAGGAUUAGAUACCCCUGGUAGUCCACGCCCUAAACGAUGUCAACUAGUUGUUGGGGGAUUCAUUUCCUUAGUAACGUAGCUAACGCGUGAAGUUGACCGCCUGGGGAGUACGGUCGCAAGAUUAAAACUUAAAUGAAUUGACGGGGUCAUAGCUGUUU
RNAcentral lists this ribosomal RNA (586 nucleotides) under uncultured bacterium. RNAcentral's name for it is "partial 16S ribosomal RNA". It matches the Rfam family "Bacterial small subunit ribosomal RNA", at positions 355 to 935 of the family's 1533-position model. The record is from RNAcentral.